AAUGGCAAUGGAGAUGAGCAUUAAAGGGAAAGAAGGUACAACAGAAAAAGUUAUAAAGAGAAGAGGUUUGAGAUUGUUUUAUUAAUACAAGGGAAGGGAACGGAAGUAAAUGAAGACUUCUGAUAGUUUAAUAUUUACACUGUAAAAGGAGUGACCCAGACAAAGCAGCAUGCAAGUUUGUUAACAGUGGAAACAGGAAGAGGGAAAACGGGUGGCAAUAAAUACCAGCAAAAGGCUAAAAUCAGGAGAAAUAAUCACAAGAGGUUCACGAUAUCUAACAAAUCACAUAAUCACCUCUUCCUCGAGCACCGUUAUUCUGUGAACCGAGGCGGUGCUCGAUGAGUCGAGUAUGUCCGUCAGGCAGGGACGCAGAGCACCGCCGCCACACUGGACGAAGGGUCACGCGAGAUACUUAUUCGACGUGUAUCCGAUGUGCUUCCUCCACUGCGGUCAUCACAGACCCUGGAAGAUAAAUCGUUGCUGGUGUGGAGAGUACUGGAAGCACCUCACUGCUGACCAGCCAUCAUUAUCAUCACAAAAUGUGGAAAAUCAUAAAGGCACACAAGCUCCAUCCCACAAUCCCAAAUUCAAACUAAUACAGUCCGUUCAACUGAAGCUCACAGGCUGCAUUUGUCUGCUUCUCCUGAUUGAUGGGACUGUCCCAUUGCUCACAUACAGGUAAGCAGUCACUCACAUGCUCUGAUGCUAUAUGCCUCUACAUUUUUUUGCCUGAGCUCACCUUCUAAACAAGAUAGACCAUUUUGGUUGGUACUAUUGGACUCGGUAGUGAUUGUAAAAUCUAAAUGUUUGUAAAAACUUGGUACAUAAAACAAUAAAUCAUGAUAAAAAGAGAACCCUUCCAAAAUCUUUACAAAGCAAACCCUUGCUUUAACAAACCAGUUGGAGGGAAGGAAGUGGUUAAAUCUGAAAAUCUGAUGGGUAUAGUCCAAGUCAUGACAGGGUUUAGUUCUGACAGGCGUGGUAAGUCAAAAUUUGCAUUGAAAAAUAAAUAAAAAUGGAGGCAUGAAUAGAGCAGCAUUUUUUGACCCCCCCACUGGCCUCAUGUGCUGGCUUGAAUUCAGUUAACCCAUUAGCCACACAACAUUGAGCAGCAUUACACAAUGGAAAUAUCAAGUUUGACAAAAUGAUGGCAUUAGCCAAACACCCUGCAGAGUCACUAAGCAGGAAAUUGUACAGGCAAGUAAAGGUAAACAUAGGAAACUUCAUAGUUAUGAGUGUGGCCAGUGUCACCUCUGUUGCAUCUUCUUGCCUUCUACACAAACCAUUUCAUAAUAUAUAUAAAAGCAUUUGUGAUCAGAUUAUGUAUCAUCUAUUUUGGGGGGUUUAUAUCAUGGCACAAAUUUGGCCCGUCACUGCUACACAGUAAAGCCACAAAUCUGGCCCGUCACUGCUACCGGGUUAAAUGCUCACCUAUAAGAUCUGCUGCUGGAAUAUUGCGAAUGAGCUAUUAUUGUGGGAUGCCUUGUUGUACUUGCUGAUCAACUCUCUGGUUUGGUUCACAGCCCCACCAGUGGUGAGUUGUGUGGCUAAAGAGUGAACUGAACAUGCUACACUCCACCCACGCUCCCAUUGUAAGUACUGCUCCCGCUACAGUGGCUGCUUUACCAGUUUAUAAGCCUACAGUCUGCUAUACAAGCAUACUGCUAGAUCUAGCAGAUAUCAGUUGGCUAGCAUGUAAGCUGAGCAAGGGUGAAGUUAGUCUACCGAGUUGUUUCCACCCCUUAUAUGUCUCAGCUGAUUGGUAGUAACACGUUAAAGAAUUUAACAAAAUCUACAGAGUGUAUUGUGACACGCUUACAAGAUUGGACCAACAACCAAUGGUAUCCCUCACUUGCUAGGCAACUGGGCACCUACUAUAAAACUGUGCAGUAUACAGGAAUCAUUUCUUAGAGAUUUAUUACUGUAUUAUUCAUUAAAUCAGUAAUGAUCUUGACCCUUUCACGCACCAAAAGUUUAAUAAGUUUCUCUUUCCACUGUGACAUCCAUCUGGGGCUCCCUAGGGGGCCUCGCGGAAUGGCCUGAACGUGCGGUGAAAAUUUUAUCGAUUUCACCCACGAGUAUUCUUUUUUCCUGGCAUUAUUAUAUAUCAUUGCUUUAGGAAGAGAUUAUUCUGCCUUAUGAAAGAAAAAAAUAUCAAGAAAUGCAAAUAAAUAGCGAAGUUUACCGACACUGCAAAAAACAAUUUAAAGGGACGACAGUCGCGCUCACAGGCUGCCUGCUGAGAGGCAACCAAACCACUUGAAAUCCAAUGGCACGAGAGCUGACAAAUAGGUCUAGCUUUGAUCUUUGACGCAAAAAAAAUUGACGCGAUUCUGAAAGAUACUUUAUUUUUGGCGACACAAUUCAAGUCAAACCCUCAUGUAGACGAUUCCAUUUUGCCACAAAUCGCGUCGUGGUGUGUGAAAGGGUUAAAAAAAAUUAAUUACCCAAUAACAUGGAAGUGUCACUACAGAUCAGCUGAGAUUUGUUAACAAUGCAGAUAAAUAGGUGCUUGCUCCACACACCCCUGCUACUGCACCUAACUAGUUAUAAAACUGCACUUGAUAGCGGAAAUGCGUGAUAAAUGAAUUGAAGAAUCAAUAGGAAUAAUUCUAAUUGGCUAUUGGACAGCCAAUUUACCUACAUUUUGUGCCUAUAUUACCUCUCUCUGGACAAACUUUCCUGCUAAACACUGUAUUAACAUAUUAUACUUAUUAUAACACUCAAACCACUACCUUAUUAUGCUCAGCGAUGGUUGGAUUUUUACAAGGUUGCUUUCCUAUUGUUAUCACAAAAAAAAUGGGUGGGUUUGGUUCACUCGCAACCACAUAACUCCUAAUGGGUGGGGAGCGAUCCAACCCAACCUGGACAGUCAAUCAGCUGACCCCAACAACAACAGCUCCCUCACAUACUCUCUCAGCAGCUCUAAUAGGAGACCAUUUACCAGAAACAGCAAUCGUAGGUGAACGAAACAUUCGUAGAAGGCAACAAGGUGCAGCAGAGGUGAUACCGGUCACACCCAUAGAACUACACCACCACCAUUGUUAAAAAGACUGAACCCCCCACCUACACAACCCUCUCACAACAACUUGGGCCAUUUGGCUAACACCGCCAUCAUGACACAACUUGUUCACUCCAAUGCAUAAUAUAGCACAAUGUUUUGUGGCUGUUUCACCAACUGAACACAGGGCAACUUUCACUGUUGUCAAUGGAGAGACACUCACUUGACUGAAUAAGUGGGAGAAUGGAGGGAGCAAUGAUGGUUAUCGUAGCACCAAUCAGUUGCCGUGUGAUCAAGGGAGUUGCUCUGGUGAUAAAUAUUUUUAUUAUUUCCUUGACAUGUGUGAGUGACUGCAUACCUCCUUGUGAGCGAAAGAACAGUUCAGUCAAAAGAGCAAUUCAGCCAAGCAGGAGAAGCAUGACAAAUGCAGCCGAGGCUCCAGGUGCAAGUCUCAGUUGAACAGGAGAUUUCUUAUGUCUUAA
Eriocheir sinensis (Chinese mitten crab) is the source of this 3483-nucleotide long non-coding RNA. RefSeq lists it as uncharacterized. The transcript has 3 exons. The record is from RefSeq and is a predicted model, not a curated record. NCBI's taxonomy places the organism in Eukaryota, Metazoa, Arthropoda, Malacostraca, Decapoda, Varunidae.